GGUUUGCUUCUGGGCCUGCACCAGUCUCAAGCACCGCUUCAACUAUGACGACACGCUCGACGUGUUCGGCAUUCACGGCAUCGGCGGAUUGCUGGGAACGCUGAUGACCGGCGUGUUCGCCACCGCCGCCAUCGGCGGGNGACGGCCGGGCUGAUCGAGGGCAAUCCCAGGCUGCUGCUGACCCAGGCCUAUGGCGUGGCGGUGGNCUGGACCGGCGCGAUGACAUUCGUGCUGCUGAAGGUCGUCGACAUGCUGGCCGGUCUGCGGGUUCCGCACGAGCACGAGGUGGAAGGCCUCGACAUCACCCAGCACGGCGAAGCGCUCCAAUAAAUCGCCCCAUUUGGAUUCAGCCUCGGAUGUCGGGGCUUAGAUACCUUUUGCUUGUCUGAUGGGCACGAAUGUGUCGGCGGUCUGGUGUGCCUAUGUUUUUGGCACCC
This 437-nucleotide unclassified non-coding RNA is filed under the name Hevea brasiliensis (rubber tree). The record is from RNAcentral. Lineage: Eukaryota; Viridiplantae; Streptophyta; Magnoliopsida; Malpighiales; Euphorbiaceae.